AGUUCCGGGGCGUGGCUUCUCUGCUCCCCGCCAGUUGAUCUCACAUGUGAUUCUUGGUACGAAGAUGAUUCGAACCAGCCCCAUCUGCAUCCCAACUGUGAACAGUGACAGGGACUGGGACUUCUGCUUCCAUCUGUCACAGAAAACCAAGAUCCCAGCACGUGAACAAACAGAUGAGUUUUAUCCCACUAGUGGGUCUGAAGAGAGUGAAGAGGAAAUUAUAGUUGCGGAGAAGGCCAUCAACUCUAUGUCUCUCCCCAGAGAUAAAUUAGCCCAAUCACAGAAGAAAGCAGCUCAGCUGAUUAAGGAAAAAUUGAAUGUCCAAGCAAACAAGGAGCUGAUUCGCUGUGUCAUCCUUUCUCGGAUUAUUUUUGGGGAAGACCACUGGAAAUGUGCACAGGCUGUGGCCAACCUGGCUUACGGCUACCUAACACUGAGAGGCCUCCCAUCUCAGGCCAAGAGACAUGCCGAGUCGGUGAAGCACACGCUGCUGACCUGGAAGGGAAACACCACCUCAAACAAGGAGAAAAGGGAGAUCCUGGAAGUUCUGGUCAUGCUCUACUAUACUCUGGGGGUGGCCUGCCUCCUGCAGAACCGUGGCAAAGAAGCUUAUAUCAAUCUGCAGAAGGCAGAGAGAAACAUGAAGGAACUGAAAGAAUUCUUUAAGGAAGGCGUUUCUGGAUUGCAGGUCUCAGAGAAAGACCUAACAGUUGCUUUGGGCAGAGCCUCCCUGGCCAUCCAGAGGUUGAACCUCGCUCUGGCAUACUUUGAAAAGGCAAUUGGCAACGUUAUCACUGCCAAGGGUGACAGGACGUCAGACCUGAUCUAUCUCUAUGAGGAAAUAGCUCAGAUUGAGCAGCUACGGAGGAACCACGACCAGGCCAUCCAGUAUUUGCAGCAGGCUCUCUCUAUCUGUACGUGCUUGUUCAGUGAAGUCAGCCCUCAAACUGCAGAGGCGAAUGCAUUACUAGCCAAGGCUUAUGCUAUGUCUGGGGAGGCCCACCACAGGGAUACUGUUGCUAUUUAUUUUAUAAAAAGUAUCACUGCGUAUCAAGCUACCUUGGGCCCAGAGGAUUAUGAAACACUGACGACCAUUGACGAAUUUUGCAAAUGGCUGAUCCAAAACGGGGAUAAACAGGAGGCCUACAGACUACUGAAGUCUUCACUGAAGUCUCAGGUCAUCAGCUAUGGUGACUGCAGUGACAAAGUGGCUGAAACAUUCUAUAAUAUGGGCAGGAUCUGCUUUGCCAAAGGAGAACUCAAAAAGGCAGUUCAGCUGCUAAGGAAGUGUCUGAUGAUUCAAAUCAUUUUAUAUGGAACUGAGCACAGUAAAAGCAAAGACACCAAAAACCUCCUCACCCUACUACAGAGGACGAGUAAAAGUUCAUCCAAGUGGAAGAAAGAAGCCAACGCAGGACGAAAGAACACUAUAUGCAAAGGCACGGAGGUGUGACAGAAGGCGUAUGGUGAGGGAGUUUCUGGAGACAGAGAAGCCUGGGUUCAGACUCCAGAACCACCAACUUUUAGCUAGGUCUUCUAUUAUCGAUAAAAGAGAAAACUUUUAUUCAAGACAGCUGACAAUAAAGCCAACCUUGUCGAUACCAGACAUUCUGGACCACAGUAUGUAUUUAUCAACACUGCCAGCAGUGGCGAAUCAAAAGCUGACCAGCUGACUUUGGGGAAAAAAGUCUGCUUAGCAACAGUAUUACAGGUAAAGUACCCAAGAGCCAUUAGAAAUCAGGCCCCUGAUCAGUAACUGGAGGGUGGGGGGGAGGUGGAGAGAAUCUUUUUUGGACACAUAUUUUUAGUUUCUUAGGUCACUGGAACGCUGUUGUCUAUUGUUUCUCUCUUUCUAACGAAUCUCAUUCCUUUCAAUUAUGAUUUAUUUUGUGCACAGGGCAGGGGGUUUAAUAAUACUUAGGUAAUUUAUUCAUUCUUAGGUAGUGAACAUUUUGAAUGCUUUUGGGGAGUAUUUUUAGUCUUAACUUGAGGUCCCUAAAACUGCCUUGUGAAGACAUGUUUGAUCUUCUGAAUCAUUUUCCCUCAUCUGAUUUAUUGAAGUCAUGAAAUACAUUCCAAUCAAACACCUGAUGUUCCUAACAGACCUGAGCCAGUCUAGUCGCCAGCCAAUCUAGUCAUAUUCUUAAUUCGAGAUGGAUAAGUGCUAGCCUUUUGUCUACAAUCUCUUUAUCAAGUUGGAAAAAAAUAUCAAGGCCAGAUCAAACUGUCCCCCACACAAAUUUUGUUAUUUUUUAAAAUUAAUUUUUUUCUUUUACAUCAUUGUGUAGUCCCCAUGAAAUUCCCAUCACCAACUCACCCGUGAACCAUCACCAUAGUCCCUUGUGCUCUUCUCUCCCUGUUUCGAUCCCUUUUCCUCCUCACUCUCACAUAAUGUCUCUGAUUUAUGGUUGCCUGCUAAAUUUUUAAUUUUUUUUCCUGAUCCCUUAAUUUGGUUCCCCUAUAUUCCUCCUGUAGUGAUACAUUUCUUUUUUCUUCUGGAUUAUUUCAGUGAGAAUGAUCCCUUCUUGUUGUGAAUGGCAUGAGUUUAUCUUUUUUGAUUGCUGAAUAGUAUUCUAUUUUGUAUAUAUACUACAUCUUCUUGAUCCAGUCAUCUAUCUUUGGGCAUUUGGGCUGUUUCCAUAUCUUACCUAUUGUAAAUAGUACUGCAAUAAACAUAGGGGUGCAGGUAUCUUUUUGAAUUAAUGUUUUUGUGUCCUUUAGGUAGAUCCCUAGGAGUGGAAUUGCUGGGUUAUAUGGUAGCUCCAUUUUUAGUAGUUUGAGGAAUCUCCACACAGCUUUCCAUAGUGGUUGUACCAGUUUGCAUUCCUACCAGCAGUGUAGGGUUAGUUUCUUUUUCUCCACAUCCUCACCAACAUUUGUUGUCUCCUGUUUUUUAACGUGUGCCAUUCUCAAACAAAUUUUAAUAAACAUCUAUUAUCAGGCAUGUAAAAAAGUUUAUGCAACCUGUUCUGUAAGCUCAGUGAAGCUCGUUCUCUGUUUUGGUAGUUCACCCACCAUUGUCCAUGAAAGGUCCACCUAAGGCAAACUUGAUAAUACUCCAGAGAUAGGACUAUCCGAAUCCA
Talpa occidentalis (Iberian mole) is the source of this 3083-nucleotide RNA transcript. It is a transcript of the gene named tetratricopeptide repeat domain 23 like, with no coding region annotated. The transcript has 14 exons. The record is from RefSeq and is a predicted model, not a curated record. NCBI's taxonomy places the organism in Eukaryota, Metazoa, Chordata, Mammalia, Eulipotyphla, Talpidae.